RNAcentral lists this unclassified non-coding RNA (347 nucleotides) under soil metagenome. RNAcentral describes it as "partial contains 5.8S ribosomal RNA, internal transcribed spacer 2, and large subunit ribosomal RNA". The stretch from base 1 to 120 matches the Rfam family "5.8S ribosomal RNA", at positions 35 to 154 of the family's 154-position model. The record is from RNAcentral.
GAUGAAGAACGUAGCGAAAUGCGACAAGUAAUGUGAAUUGCAGAAUUCAGUGAAUCAUCGAAUCUUUGAACGCACAUUGCGCCCACUAGUAUUCUGGUGGGCAUGCCUGUUCGAGCGUCAUUUCAACCCUUAAGCCCCUGUUGCUUAGCGUUGGGAGCCUACUGGAACUCUCCUGUAGCUCUCCAAAGUCAGUGGCGGAGCCGGUUCGCACUCCAGACGUAGUAGCUUUUACAUAUCGCCUGUAGCUUGGACCCGGUCCCCUGCCGUAAAACACCCCAAAUCUUCUAGGUUGACCUCGGAUCAGGUAGGAAUACCCGCUGAACUUAAGCAUAUCAAUAAGCGGAGGA